Molecule: long non-coding RNA, 4767 nt
Organism: Mirounga angustirostris (Northern elephant seal)
Lineage: Eukaryota; Metazoa; Chordata; Mammalia; Carnivora; Phocidae
Exons: 3
Source: RefSeq, a predicted model, not a curated record
CUUCAUUCUUCAAAGUGGCGCGACCAAGAGCUGCGGGCACUAAGAGGACAAAAAAUCCUGUAACACCGGGUGACUGACUGCUCCUGGGGAAAAUUCACAACUAACAGAAGGACGCCCUGCUCACGGCCGUACCCUCGUGCCUAUCACUAGUGCCUGACACAUGACAGAAACUCGAUGCUCACCCUUGGAACGCAGCCACCAUGCUGUGAGAAAGCCCAAACUACCCCAUGUGGAGAGACCACAAGAAGAGGCCCAUGUGGAGAAAAACUGAGGCCCCCAACCGACAGUGGGCACCAACUACCAGACACAUGAGUGAACACGCCUUCAGAUGAUUCCUGUCCCCAGCCUUUGUGUUCUCGGGCUGAGGCCCAAACAUACGUCAUGGGGCAGAGAUAAGUCAUCCCCACUGUGCCCUGUCCUAAUUCCUGACCCAGAGAAUCCAUGAGCAGAAUAAAUGGUUAUUUUAUGCCACAAAGUUUUAGAGCAAUGUGUUGCACAGCCGAAGUAACUGGAACAAAGACUUUCAAAGGAGAAGAAACUAUACAAGUAAUAGAAUGUUGCAGAGCAUUGUGAAUAGUUAGUACUGGGUGAUGAGGUCACAAAGGUUGGCUGGGACCAGGCCAUGAAAAGUCUCUUAUGACAGUCUCAUAUGUCUAAAAAAAUUAGACAUCCUACUGGCAGUGGAAAACUGUGGAAAAUUUUUAAGCUGGGAAGGGAAAUGCUUAGAACUGCACUUGAGCAAGAUAUCUCUGAGAUUGGUGUGAAGUAAAGAUGGGAGAAAAGGAAGACUCAAAAAUAAGAAAAGCUCCUCCAAUUGUGAGUUCCAACCAAGUAACAUGGUGGAAUCAUCCCUCACUUGACAUGUUUUGUGACUUUUUUCCUCUUAAGCGCUGCCUCUUAGGCUCAUUUAUACUCCAUCUCACUUGUAUUAUAAUGUUGGCAGGAAAAACUUAUUUCCACACAAAAACGUGCACAUGGAUAUUUACAGCAGCUUUAUUUAUAAAUGCCCAAACUUAGACACAACGAAGAUGUUCUUCAGCAGGUGGAUGGAUAAAUACCCUAGCAUAUCCUAUUCAGCACUAAAAAGAAAUGGGCUAUCAAGACAUGAAAAGAUAUGGAGGAGCCUUAAAUGCACGCUGCUGAAUAAAAGAAGACAGUCUGAAAAGGCUAUAUCCUGUAUGAGUCCAACUAUACGACUUUCUAGAAAAGGCAAAACUAUGGAGACAGUUAAAAUAUCAGUGGUUGCCAGGGGUUAGGAGGAAGGGAGGAAUGGCAGGCAGAGCACAGAAGUUUUGCAGGGCAGUGAAAUACUCGUAUGAUACUAUAGUGGUGGAUACAUGUCUUUAUACAUUCGUCCAAACCCAAAGAAUACACAACACCAAGAAUGACCCCUAAUAUAAACUAUGGUCCUUGGGUGAUGAUAAAGCGUUAAUGUAGGUUUGCUGAUCGCAACAAAUGUGAGGUGGUGGUAGUGGGGGAAGUUGUGCUUGUUUGGGAGCAGGGGUAUGCGGGAAAAUCUCUGUACCUUACAUUCAAUUUUACUGUGAAGCUAAAAAUGCUUUAAAAAGUGGAAGUCUAUUUCAAAAAGGUUGGGGGGGGGAUAUGAGGGGACAUUAGAUCAAAAAAUGUUUUCCUUACCAUUCUUCUUUCAAGCUUCUGGAUCUGGAUCAGUUUAUAUCAAGUGUAUUCUAAGAAUACAGAGCAAGCUGUCUUAAAAAUGGUAACCACUUACAACUAAUUAUCCAUGUGAGUAAUACCAUCCUUGUACUACAAAUAUCACCAUAACCCACAACUUCAUGUUCUGUGUUUAUUGAAAUGUCUUCAUCAUCAUUCUCAUGACUAGUUUAUAAGAAAAUUAUAUAAAUGUGAAUCUGUAAAAUAAAUCUAUUCUAAUCAACUACAGUUUUUAUAUUUUGGAUACUGGGGAUCUAUAUAAGGAGAAAAUCACAGUACGUGGCCCAAAGAUGAGGGAGAAGAUGAAACACAACAUAAGGAGCCACCUCUGCAGUGAGGGAAAGGAUGCUUGGAUGAAUAUAAAAGCAAAGAUAAAUGAAGGGAUGAAAGAUACUAAUGAUAAUGUUUCAUUCUCCUCUUGGCAGAGGGUCCUGAGUCCUAUUUUUUGAGAAAAGUAAGAGGAAGGAUGUAUUAAAAAUUGAGAGUUUCUGAAGAAUAGGGACAGUAUGGAGUGGCUCCACUGUGAAUCAAUCAGAUCUUGAGUAGCAGCAGAGCCCAGUUGGAAUUGGAUAGUGUAAUUUAUUGGAGGCCAGGUUGUGUCAUUUUAUACUGUGCUUUCUCUAAUGUUAAUUACUCAAGAGGUGAUUAGCCAAUUUGUGGGAUGCCGUACAUCUUGCUUUUCACAUUUUGGUCUAAUGCUUGCUUAUGAAAAAUGUCUAAUUUAAACUCUUUAUCAAAGAGAAGUUAGUACAAAUGAAAAAAAGAACUCUUAUUUUUCUGCAUUUUAAACCAUGCAUAAGAGAUUCGAGGUUUGCAGUUAAUAAUUUUUGAAACAAUGAAAAAGAAAAAAAAAGCAAAAUAGAGGGAAUGAAACCCCACUGAAACAAAUGGUAAAAUAAGAUCACAGGAUCAUGUGUGGGUUAAAUUCAUCCAUGCUGGUCCCAUCCCUCAUUAUCAAAGUUAAAUUAAAACCAUUGCUGCCAUAUUUCACAAAAUAAAAUCUGAUGUAAAGCAAUUCCUGCCUAAUAUUUCUUAUUCAUGUUUCUGAGUAACCUUUCUAUUCUUUAACCAAUUUACCUGCAUCCCAGAGGUUACAAACGUCUGCUGGCCCUUCUGAUAACCAUUUAGUUGACGAGAUAUUGGAAGGAGGAAUUGUCGGCAAAAGUGGCUUUGGAUCAUCCUCAUAAAAUAACAUCAGGUCCUUAGAGAAAACAGGAGAGCACAUGAAAGUUGAAAAAAAUAAUUGAUCCCAGUGCUUCAUUUUGCUAAAGUAGGUGGACAAUUUAUGGAGAUAUAAUGUGUCUGUAUGUGCUAACAUAAACACAUUUAAUUGAAAGAACUCAAAUAUAAGUUAGCUAUACACUCGGUGUCCACUGAGUAUAGGGUGGUUUUCUACCCCUGGAGAUCCUCACUCCUUGAUGAAGACAGCUGGUGCAGGCAAGCAAGAUUCUGUUUGAGGCAUUAACUGUCCCUAUCAGCCCUUGAGCAUCCUAGAGCACACUAUCUCAGAAGCCAAUUUUUCUGUUUUACUGGUAAUAAUAAAGCUACCUGUGUGUAACUUUUAUUCAUAUUUUAAAACUUUUUUAAAUCAUGGAGUUAAAAAAUAGAUGAUAAUUAAUCCAGUCGUGCAGGUUAAACAAAUCAAUGCAUGGCCAGUCUUGUUUCAUUUAUAUCCUCCCACUCCUCAUCUGUUUUAUUGUGAAGCAAAUCCCAGCUAUAUCACUUUUUUCAGUAUAUCUCUCUAAAUGACAAAAACUCUUUAACAUAAUAAUUAUUAUUUUAUACUUAGAAACUUCACAACUCCCUAAUGUCAUCAAUUAUAAACUCAUCUUUCCAAUUUUUCCUAAGUGCCAUAAAUAGGUUUCUCUAUAGCUUGUCUAAGAGAGGAGUCAAAUAAAGUCUACACAGUGGGAUCAGUUGACAUGUCUUUUGCCCCAAUGAACAGAGAUUUGUUCUACAGUAAAUAAAGUUUAAGAUAUAAUUAACAUAGAAUGCAUAGAUCUCAAUAAAUUUUAACAUUAUAUCUAUACCUGUGUAGCCACAUUUCUGUCACUCCAGAAAGUUCCCUCAAGUUUCUUUCCAGUUGAUACCAGCCCCCGUUACCAGUACACAGUGUUCUACCUUCUACCAUAAUCAAUGAGUUUGCCUGUUCUUGAGCUUCCUGAAUGUAAUCAUAUACUAUGUGCUCUUUUGUAUCCAAUUCCCAUUGCUUAAUGGUUGUGAGAUUCAUCCAUAUUUUGUGUGUAUCAGUUCCUUUUCUUUUCGUAACAAGUAUUCCAUUGUAUGAAUAUACCACAAUUUGUUUAUCCAUUCUCCUCCAUAUGGACAUUUGGAUUGUUUCCAAAUUUCAGCUACUACGAAUAAAGCUACUAAGAACAUUCUUAUACAAAUCUUUUUAUGGACAAAUGCACUCAUUACUCCUGGAUAUUUACACAGGAGUAGAAUGGCUAGGUCAUAGGAUAGGUUAAUUUUUUAACUUCAUUGAAACUGCCAAACCAUUUUCCAAAUGAUUUGCCACUUUUUAUAUUUUCAACUUUUAUUUUAAAAUCAUUGUAGAUUCAUGUUCAGUUGUAAGAAAUAGUACAGACUGAUCCUGUGUAUCCUUUACCCAGUUUUCCCUAAAGGUAACAUUUUAAAAAUUGUAGUACAAUAUUAUCCAGGAUAUUAACAUUGAUAGUCAAAAUAGAGAACAUUCCCAUCACCAUAAAGAUCCUUCCUGAUACUUUAUUACCAUAGCCUGCCCCCCCACAACUACUAAACUGUUCUCCAUUUCUAUAAUUCUGACAUUUGAAGAAUGUUAUAUAAAUGGAAUCAUACAGGAUGUAACCUUUUAGAAUUGGCUUCUUUCACCUGGCAUAAUUCCUGGAAAUUCACCCAAGUUGUUUCAUGUAUUAAUAACUUGUUCCUUUUUAUUGCUCUGUAGUAUCCAUGAUGUAGAUGUAUCACAGUUUGUUUAACCUGUCAAAGGAAAUCUGGAUUGUUUCCAGAUUUUGGCUAUUAUAAAUAAAGUUGCUGUGAACACUGUAUACAGGUUUUUGUAUGAAAAUAAAUUUUCCUAUCACUGGGAUAGAUGCCUAAGAAUGCAAUCGCUGG